Molecule: ribosomal RNA, 492 nt
Filed under: uncultured bacterium
Lineage: Bacteria
Description: partial 16S ribosomal RNA
Rfam family: Bacterial small subunit ribosomal RNA
Source: RNAcentral
AGUGAACGCUGGCGGUAGGCCUAACACAUGCAAGUCGAACGGCAGCACAGUAAGAGCUUGCUCUUACGGGUGGCGAGUGGCGGACGGGUGAGGAAUACAUCGGAACCUACUUUUUCGUGGGGGACAACGUAGGGAAACUUACGCUAAUACCGCAUACGACCUACGGGUGAAAGCAGGGGAUCUUCGGACCUUGCGCGAUUGAAUGAGCCGAUGUCGGAUUAGCUAGUCGGCGGGGUAAAGGCCCACCAAGGCGACGGUCCGUAGCUGGUCUGAGAGGAUGAUCAGCCACACUGGAACUGAGACACGGUCCAGACUCAUACGGGAGGCAGCAGUGGGGAAUAUUGGACGAUGGGCGAAAGCCUGAUCCAGCCAACCCGCGUGGGUGGAGAAGGCCUUCGGGUUGUAAAGCCCUUUUGUUGGGAAAGAAAAGCAGCAGGUUAAUACCCCGCUGUUCUGACGGUACCCAACGAAUAAGCACCGGCUAGCUUCGUG